This 468-nucleotide ribosomal RNA is filed under the name uncultured bacterium. RNAcentral's name for it is "partial 16S ribosomal RNA". It matches the Rfam family "Bacterial small subunit ribosomal RNA", at positions 28 to 507 of the family's 1533-position model. The record is from RNAcentral.
GACGAACGCUGGCGGCGUGCUUAACACAUGCAAGUCGAACGGAAAGGCCCUGCUUUUGUGGGGUGCUCGAGUGGCGAACGGGUGAGUAACACGUGAGUAACCUGCCCUUGACUUUGGGAUGACUUCAGGAAACUGGGGCUAAUACCGGAUAGGAGCUCCUGCUGCAUGGUGGGGGUUGGAAAGUUUCGGCGGUUGGGGAUGGACUCGCGGCUUAUCAGCUUGUUGGUGGGGUAGUGGCUUACCAAGGCUUUGACGGGUAGCCGGCCUGAGAGGGUGACCGGCCACAUUGGGACUGAGAUACGGCCCAGACUCCUACGGGAGGCAGCGGUGGGGAAUAUUGCACAAUGGGCGGAAGCCUGAUGCAGCAACGCCGCGUGCGGGAUGACGGCCUUCGGGUUGUAAACCGCUUUCGCCUGUGACGAAGCGUGAGUGACGGUAAUGGGUAAAGAAGCACCGGCUAACUACGUG